UUUUUUUUUAAAAUCCAUACGUAAAUUACUCUACAAAUUGUACGAUUUUUCUAGUACCCCAAUACCACCCCGAGCUCUCUACCGUAUGAUUUCUCAAAAGCAUAGUUAUCAAUAAUGAUUUGAGAUCAGACUAGCCACGUAAUCAACGAGGAAACUGGCCCAAUUAGAAUUGGUUUAACCACUAGUCAAAAUGGUUAGAUUAAAUUUUAAUAAAAUAAAAUUAAAAUGAGAAAAUAAAAAAUAUAUUAUAAAAAACUUUCAGAUAGUUAAACCCACUAAAACCGGUUGGUUAGAUACUUAUUUUGACCAAUUUUCACUCGAAAAUUUGUUUUGCUUCUAUCGGACUUGUUAAGGCACUGACAAUAUGAAUUAUCAAAUUGAGUGGUCCGAUCUAAUAUUGAUAACUAAACUCUACUACCCAUCUGCUUCUCUCUCUAUAAGACCAAACCCCUAUCUUGCUUUUGAAUAGACUUUAGUCAAGAAUUAUGCGAUGUUUUAAACCCCUAUUUGUUUUUGGUUAUACUUUAUCUCUCACUAUUUCUUGCUUUUGAAUGGAUUUUAGUCUAGAAUUAUGUGAUGUUUUUAAAAGAUGACCUAAACCACAAGGAGCUCCCUACAAGUUUGGUACCUUUCUCUCUCUGCUCUCUCUCGCUCUUGGUUUUAUUUUUUUCUCUCUAUUUCUUGGUUGGAAUCGGUUAUAGAUGAUGGGUAGAGCAGUAACAAUAUUGACCCUGUCAAAAAAGUAAUUUAACUAAUUUUCACCUUAAAUUCUCUCUCCUCUUGUAGUCGAGUUGGUGGCUUGGUGCCUCUUUUCCUCUCUCUAAAACCAACUCUCUCUUUAGUCGACUUAUGUCACUAGUUAUUGAUGAUGUUGAAUGCAGUACGAGUUAUGGCUUUAUGUGGUACAUUUUUGUUCUCUUAUUGAAGACAGACCCUGGUAGUUACUGCAUCCACAUUAGGACUUAAAACUCGAAAAUUGAUACAAGGUUGUAAUUUUAUUUAUAGAAGUAAGAUUGCAAUAAUCUACUUCAUUUUUAUUUUAAUGGUUUCGAUUUGAUUUUAUUUUAAAAGACAUUUUUUGUUUAUAUUACGUUCAAAGACGUGAUAAAUCUAUAUCGUUCAACUAAAAUAAAUUGUAUAAAAUAUUGUAAUCUUACUUAUACAAAUAUGAUUGCCACAUCAUACAACCGCUUUGGAUAGGAAAAUUUGGGUAUAUAGGCUAAUCUUUGUCUAGCUUUGGGACUUGUUUUGGUUCAAAGCGAAAUGAGGCGAGUUACUCAACAAGGGCGGUCCUACUAGAAAGAAUUGCUGGAUUCCCAACUAUUCUAUUUUUUUAUUUUUAAGCUUUUUAAUUUAAAAUACUAAAAGUUUAUAUAAAAAAGAAAAAAAGGAAAUUAAGAUACAAUUAAAAUUUUAUUUAGUUGCAAAUAUUUCAAAAAUGAAUUAACAAAGUAAAAAGUUAAAGACAAUAAAAUACAACACGAAAUUUUUGGAAAUCGAUGCUUAGUAUGAAAGCAAUAAAGCAAUGAGCUUUGCCC
Molecule: long non-coding RNA, 1538 nt
Filed under: Amborella trichopoda
Lineage: Eukaryota; Viridiplantae; Streptophyta; Magnoliopsida; Amborellales; Amborellaceae
Description: long non-coding RNA (ATRI_LNC003469)
Source: RNAcentral